CUGAUUCACAUGUGGGUGAAAGCGGCAACCAUUUUGUCAUGAUGACAUGGAGCACAAACAAGAUCCUUCUCAAAUUUUAGCUUAGGUAAGCCUCAAGUAAGAUCAAGAGCAAUCAAGAGGGAAAGCAAAUCAAAACUCAGAUGACCCAAUCUCCUAUGGCACUUCCAAAGCUCAGAAGAUGAACCAGCAACUAGACAAUGAGAGAGACUAAAUGACUUAGAGAAAUCCACUCAAAACACUUGACCCUCUAGGACGAUCAUAAACACAAGAUCA
Molecule: long non-coding RNA, 273 nt
Filed under: Setaria viridis
Lineage: Eukaryota; Viridiplantae; Streptophyta; Magnoliopsida; Poales; Poaceae
Description: long non-coding RNA (SVIR_LNC007133)
Source: RNAcentral